Molecule: ribosomal RNA, 367 nt
Filed under: uncultured bacterium
Lineage: Bacteria
Description: bacterial SSU rRNA
Rfam family: Bacterial small subunit ribosomal RNA
Source: RNAcentral
AACGAACGCUGGCGGCAGGCCUAACACAUGCAAGUCGAACGCCCUAGCAAUAGGGAGUGGCGCACGGGUGCGUAACGCGUGGGAAUAUGCCCUUCACUGCGGAAUAACGUUUGGAAACGAACGCUAAUACCGCAUAAUGACUCCGGUCCAAAGAUUUAUCGGUGAAGGAUUAAGCCCGCGUUAGAUUAGCUAGUUGGUGAGGUAAUGGCUCACCAAGGCGACGAUCUACAGCUGGUCUGAGAGGAUGAUCAGCCACACUGGGACUGAGACACGGCCCAGACUCCUACGGGAGGCAGCAGUGAGGAAUAUUGGACAAUGGGCGCAAGCCUGAUCCAGCCAUGCCGCGUGAGUGCAGAAGGCCUGGUGU